Anguilla rostrata (American eel) is the source of this 492-nucleotide long non-coding RNA. RefSeq lists it as uncharacterized. The record is from RefSeq and is a predicted model, not a curated record. NCBI's taxonomy places the organism in Eukaryota, Metazoa, Chordata, Actinopteri, Anguilliformes, Anguillidae. The transcript is spliced from 3 exons.
AUGCAGCUAACUAACUGCAUAGUAUAAAAGUACGUUCCUCUCUGUUACAAAUUAUUCGGUAUUUACAAACAAGCAGUAUUCAUUACAAAGUUAACAUUGUGGAACUACAGUACAUAAACAAGCACCAUCGUCAAAUUACUGUAGUUGCACUUAUUUCCGGUACGGGAGGAAAUAGUAGAGAUAGUUACUUUUUUGAGACUUUUUUGUUUCCCCGUCGUCACAAUUUGGAGAGUUCCGGUUAAAAUGUCACGCCUGUUCAGUCCUUUUGGCGUAAGACAACCACUCUUCAAAAUUUAGGUUCGUAUUUCCGGUGAAGAAGGUCAAAUGCACAUGAAAGCAUGAAGCUAGUUGGAUAUGUAUACUUCGCCGCCCGAAGAGGGAUGCGCCAAGCGGGACCAACCAGUAUCGGAACUGUCUUUCAGAUCGCCUUUGCUGCUAGUCUGGCUGCUUGGGCAGUUGUGGUGAUUGCAGACCCCGUAGGCAAAGCCAAAG